UACAGAGGGUGCAAGCGUUAAUCGGACUUACUGGGCGUAAAGGGCGCGUAGGUGGUUAAUUAAGUUGGAGGUGAAAUCCCUAGGCUCAACCUAGGAGUGGCCUCUAAGACUGGUUAGCUAGAGUACGGUAGAGGGGAGUGGAAUUUCCGGAGUAGCGGUGAAAUGCGUAGAUAUCGGAAGGAACAUCAGUGGCGAAGGCGACUCCCUGGGCCUGUACUGACACUGAGGCGCGAGAGCAUGGGUAGCAAACAGG
This 253-nucleotide ribosomal RNA is filed under the name uncultured bacterium. Its description in RNAcentral is "partial 16S ribosomal RNA". It matches the Rfam family "Bacterial small subunit ribosomal RNA", at positions 524 to 776 of the family's 1533-position model. The record is from RNAcentral.